This 529-nucleotide long non-coding RNA is filed under the name Carica papaya (papaya). RNAcentral describes it as "long non-coding RNA (CPAP_LNC002505)". The record is from RNAcentral. Lineage: Eukaryota; Viridiplantae; Streptophyta; Magnoliopsida; Brassicales; Caricaceae.
CUAACAACAUCAAUAUUAUCGGCAAGGACGAGAAGAUCUUCGGGAAGACUAAAGGAAACUGAAGUUGUUCCAGCUACUGGACAUUUACUUUGUCUUCUACGUUUGUGCUGAUUCCCCUACAAAUUAAUUUAUGUUAUGAUCUAAAAAACCCAGUAUGGAAAAUUAUUUGAUAUAUAUACACACACACAAAGAGAGAAAGAGAUCGUAGAAGCACCAUUUGGUUGGAUUCAAAGGGCAAACAUCUCCUUCAUCUGAUGUCCUAAAAGAAAUUGGGAUUGCUGCCUCAACCUCUGCCGCAAUAUUAAUCCCUUCUGCAGCUAGUUGUUCCGCCUGUACGGCUUGGCGUGCUUCCUUCUCUUUCUCUUCUUCUUUCACCUUCUCUCUAAACUCAUUCAUUAUUUUCUUUUUCAAAAUAGAUCAUUUUAAUAAAUUUCUCAAAAGAACCCUCAAAAGCUUCACAUAUCUGUAUAAUCUGGAACUUACCAGGAUAGAUUUUUGCACUCUAUCAGUAAUACUAAACCAUUCCAUU